Molecule: ribosomal RNA, 1530 nt
Filed under: Escherichia coli
Lineage: Bacteria; Pseudomonadati; Pseudomonadota; Gammaproteobacteria; Enterobacterales; Enterobacteriaceae
Also listed under: 37 other names
Description: bacterial SSU rRNA
Rfam family: Bacterial small subunit ribosomal RNA
Source: RNAcentral
AGAGUUUGAUCAUGGCUCAGAUUGAACGCUGGCGGCAGGCCUAACACAUGCAAGUCGAACGGUAACAGGAAACAGCUUGCUGUUUCGCUGACGAGUGGCGGACGGGUGAGUAAUGUCUGGGAAACUGCCUGAUGGAGGGGGAUAACUACUGGAAACGGUAGCUAAUACCGCAUAACGUCGCAAGACCAAAGAGGGGGACCUUCGGGCCUCUUGCCAUCGGAUGUGCCCAGAUGGGAUUAGCUUGUUGGUGGGGUAACGGCUCACCAAGGCGACGAUCCCUAGCUGGUCUGAGAGGAUGACCAGCCACACUGGAACUGAGACACGGUCCAGACUCCUACGGGAGGCAGCAGUGGGGAAUAUUGCACAAUGGGCGCAAGCCUGAUGCAGCCAUGCCGCGUGUAUGAAGAAGGCCUUCGGGUUGUAAAGUACUUUCAGCGGGGAGGAAGGGAGUAAAGUUAAUACCUUUGCUCAUUGACGUUACCCGCAGAAGAAGCACCGGCUAACUCCGUGCCAGCAGCCGCGGUAAUACGGAGGGUGCAAGCGUUAAUCGGAAUUACUGGGCGUAAAGCGCACGCAGGCGGUUUGUUAAGUCAGAUGUGAAAUCCCCGGGCUCAACCUGGGAACUGCAUCUGAUACUGGCAAGCUUGAGUCUCGUAGAGGGGGGUAGAAUUCCAGGUGUAGCGGUGAAAUGCGUAGAGAUCUGGAGGAAUACCGGUGGCGAAGGCGGCCCCCUGGACGAAGACUGACGCUCAGGUGCGAAAGCGUGGGGAGCAAACAGGAUUAGAUACCCUGGUAGUCCACGCCGUAAACGAUGUCGACUUGGAGGUUGUGCCCUUGAGGCGUGGCUUCCGGAGCUAACGCGUUAAGUCGACCGCCUGGGGAGUACGGCCGCAAGGUUAAAACUCAAAUGAAUUGACGGGGGCCCGCACAAGCGGUGGAGCAUGUGGUUUAAUUCGAUGCAACGCGAAGAACCUUACCUGGUCUUGACAUCCACGGAAGUUUUCAGAGAUGAGAAUGUGCCUUCGGGAACCGUGAGACAGGUGCUGCAUGGCUGUCGUCAGCUCGUGUUGUGAAAUGUUGGGUUAAGUCCCGCAACGAGCGCAACCCUUAUCCUUUGUUGCCAGCGGUCCGGCCGGGAACUCAAAGGAGACUGCCAGUGAUAAACUGGAGGAAGGUGGGGAUGACGUCAAGUCAUCAUGGCCCUUACGACCAGGGCUACACACGUGCUACAAUGGCGCAUACAAAGAGAAGCGACCUCGCGAGAGCAAGCGGACCUCAUAAAGUGCGUCGUAGUCCGGAUUGGAGUCUGCAACUCGACUCCAUGAAGUCGGAAUCGCUAGUAAUCGUGGAUCAGAAUGCCACGGUGAAUACGUUCCCGGGCCUUGUACACACCGCCCGUCACACCAUGGGAGUGGGUUGCAAAAGAAGUAGGUAGCUUAACCUUCGGGAGGGCGCUUACCACUUUGUGAUUCAUGACUGGGGUGAAGUCGUAACAAGGUAACCGUAGGGGAACCUGCGGUUGGAUCACCU